Molecule: unclassified non-coding RNA, 338 nt
Organism: Pan troglodytes (chimpanzee)
Lineage: Eukaryota; Metazoa; Chordata; Mammalia; Primates; Hominidae
Gene: 7SK
Rfam family: 7SK RNA
About the family: 7SK was discovered as an abundant small nuclear RNA in the mid-70s but a possible function has only recently been suggested. Two independent studies have found that 7SK RNA binds the CDK9/cyclin T complex (known as elongation factor P-TEFb). P-TEFb activates transcription by phosphorylating the C-terminal domain of RNA polymerase II.
Source: Ensembl
GGGUGUGAGGGCGAUCUGGCUGUUACAUCUGUCACCCCAUCGAUCGCUAGAGUUGAUUCUGCUGAUCUGGCUGGCUAGGCGGGUGUCCCCUUCCUCUGUUACCUCUCCACCUGCGUCCCUCCCGAAGCUGCGUGCUCAGUCGAAGAGGAUGACCAUCCCUGAUAGAGGAGGACUGGUCUUUGGUCAAGGGCAUAUGAGUAGCCGCGCUCCCCUGCUAGAACCUCCAAAUAAGCUCUCAAGAAACAAAAAACCUAUUUCUGAUUAUGUCAGUGUUUCAGCUUUUCAGGGAAAAGCGAAUACUCAAUAAACAGAUAAAGUAGGCUAUGUCGUUAUUAUUU